AGAAUCAACGCUGGCGGCGUGCCUAACACAUGCAAGUCGCACGAGAAAGGGGCUUCGGCUCUGAGUAAAGUGGCGCACGGGUGAGUAACACGUGACUAAUCUACCCUCGAGUGGGGAAUAACUGAGAGAAAUCUUAGCUAAUACCGCAUAACACUUACGAGUCAAAGCAGCAAUGCGCUUGGGGAGGAGGUCGCGGCCGAUUAGCUAGUUGGCGGGGUAAUGGCCCACCAAGGCGAUGAUCGGUAUCAGGCCUGAGAGGGCGCACGGACACACUGGAACUGAAACACGGUCCAGACUCCUACGGGAGGCAGCAGUGGGGAAUUUUGCGCAAUGGGGGAAACCCUGACGCAGCAACGCCGCGUGGAGGAUGAAAUAUCUUGGUAUGUAAACUCCUUUCGAUGGGGAAGAUUAUGACGGUACCCAUAGAAGAAGCCCCGGCUAACUUCGCGCCAGCAGCCGC
This 460-nucleotide ribosomal RNA is filed under the name uncultured bacterium. RNAcentral describes it as "SSU rRNA". It matches the Rfam family "Bacterial small subunit ribosomal RNA", at positions 26 to 518 of the family's 1533-position model. The record is from RNAcentral.